CUGAUCUUGUCGGGGUGCCUUAUUUUAGGCUGAGAUUGGCUUUGCCAAAUCCCGUUGCACCUGAUCAGGUUAAUACCUGCGUAGGGAACAAGUUACACUGUAAU
RNAcentral lists this non-coding RNA (104 nucleotides) under Osedax symbiont Rs2. RNAcentral's name for it is "TPP riboswitch aptamer (THI element)". It matches the Rfam family "TPP riboswitch aptamer (THI element)". From Rfam's summary of the family: Vitamin B(1) in its active form thiamin pyrophosphate (TPP) is an essential coenzyme that is synthesised by coupling of pyrimidine and thiazole moieties in bacteria. The previously detected thiamin-regulatory element, thi box was extended, resulting in a new, highly conserved RNA secondary structure, the THI element, which is widely distributed in eubacteria and also occurs in some archaea. Analysis of operon structures identified a large number of new candidate thiamin-regulated genes, mostly transporters, in various prokaryotic organisms. Lineage: Bacteria; Pseudomonadati; Pseudomonadota; Gammaproteobacteria; Oceanospirillales; Oceanospirillaceae. The record is from Rfam by way of RNAcentral. RNAcentral also lists the same sequence under 1 other name.